Ornithodoros turicata is the source of this 703-nucleotide long non-coding RNA. RefSeq lists it as uncharacterized. Lineage: Eukaryota; Metazoa; Arthropoda; Arachnida; Ixodida; Argasidae. The transcript is spliced from 3 exons. The record is from RefSeq and is a predicted model, not a curated record.
UUGUCACACACGUGUACGCCGCACGUUUCGUUCACGAUGCAUAUGAGGUAAGAGACGUUCUGCGAGCACGAUAUGGGAUGCCGCCGGAUGCAGCUCAAAUUGAAAGCUGUCGAUCGUCACGCCUUCAACUGUUAGCGGCAACGAUGUCCAAAGAACUGACGCAGUGUUGAAAGAGGCAUGGUCUUUGAUGCAGACAUGUGGGAUGGUCCUGAAAAGGGCUUCUUUUUGCCACAGGCAAGGGGUGCAAUGACAUGAAUGGAAUGGCUUCACUUAUCAUGUUGACAACCUUCUGCCACUUGCUGGAAUGGCUACAGAGAGCUUCCUUCUUCUUCUACAGAUAGCCUUCUUCCUUCAGAAGGCUAUCCAAGUUGUGAUGCUUAUGACGAAAUGCUCAAGUCUGAAAUUUUGCAUAACGUACCACGAAACACACAUUUUUAUAUGCAAAUAUAAAGCUGGGCAAUAAAAACAAACCUUACAGCACCGUUCAGGGGAAUACAACACCAUGUGUACGUGACGGAUGGGAAAAGGCUCCGGAUUGUGCGCACAACACAUCCUGGUAUCUGGCGCCUAUUCUUUGGACCAAGAUAUCCCCAGAUCCAGUUUGUAAAGCAUGCAUAUGCUGCAUAUCUGAUGCACCUGUAAGAAGAAAUGCAUAUACGUAUGCAUGUAAAUCCCGCAUUUGUUUCCUUGCGUCACAAUAAAU